UGGGAUUGAUGACUUUCAUUU
Molecule: non-coding RNA, 21 nt
Filed under: Caenorhabditis elegans
Lineage: Eukaryota; Metazoa; Nematoda; Chromadorea; Rhabditida; Rhabditidae
Source: RNAcentral